GACGAACGCUGGCGGCGUGCUUAACACAUGCAAGUCGAACGGAAAGGCCCCUUCGGGGGUCCUCGAGUGGCGAACAGGUGAGUAACACGUGAGUAACCUGCCCUUGACUUCGGGAUAACUUCAGGAAACUGGGGCUAAUACCGGAUAGGAAUCCUUGCUGCAUGGUGGGGGUUGGAAAGCUUCGGCGGUUUUGGAUGGACUCGCGGCUUAUCAGCUUGUUGGUGGGGUAGUGGCUUACCAAGGCUUUGACGGGUAGCCGGCCUGAGAGGGCGACCGGCCACCUUGGGACUGAGAUACGGCCCAGACUCCUACGGGAGGCAGCAGUGGGGAAUAUUGCACAAUGGGCGGAAGCCUGAUGCAGCAACGCCGCGUGCGGGAUGACGGCCUUCGGGUUGUAAACCGCUUUCAGCAGGGGCGAAGCUUGUGGUGACGGUACCUGCAGAAGAAGCACCGGCUAACUACGUG
RNAcentral lists this ribosomal RNA (465 nucleotides) under uncultured bacterium. RNAcentral's name for it is "partial 16S ribosomal RNA". It matches the Rfam family "Bacterial small subunit ribosomal RNA", at positions 28 to 507 of the family's 1533-position model. The record is from RNAcentral.